AACACUAGCUAACUAGAAAAAAUGCUUCUUCUUUUCUUUUGUUUUUCUGUUUUCAAUGUAUAUAUAUUUUUUUUUAAUUAUAAGGGUAUAUCUUGGGAAUAUGAUCCAUGUCCAGUUUGGUAAGUGAUUUAGCCUUACCAUUUAUAAAAUAUCUCUCAACAGAGAAUCUUCUUAAGUUGGGGACUUGCAAUUACAUGGGUUACCUAUCUGAAUUUAUCAGGUGUAAAACUCUUUUUAGAUUUUUCACUUUGUUGUAACAUGUAGCUGUUGUCAACAAGUUUGGAACUAGUAGUUCAGGAUUGUGGUGAAAUUGAGUUUAGUUGUUUGCUUUGUUAGAAACUUUACUGCAAUAACAUAAUCUUUUACAACAAAAAUAAAAUAAAAUAUUUAGUUUGGAAGAGUUGAAUAGGUAAAGUAGUGAACUGUCUUUGCACCCUUGAAGCUUAAUGAUGACAAUCUUUCCUUGAUGCCUUCACCAAUCGCACGCAUGGACUCACUGCUGUACCAUUUUGACUACCACAGUACCAUCCUUCAAGGCUUCACCGCAAGUUCUCUCUCUAAAGUCCACAAGCUUUAAUUUUGCGAUGAUUAAUCUUUCAAUUAAUCAUUUUUAUGUGUAAUUUCUACUACUAUUUAGGAUUAUUGUUGAAUAGAGAGGGUUAUGAGUUUUUAACUUUGCAAUUUUUUAUUGAAAUUUGUAUGUUUUGUUGUUUGAAUUUCAACUUUGCAAUUUCUGGAUGGGGGUUGCUGGGAUUUUUAAGUAGGUGAAUUGCAAUUUGGGGAACUGGGAUUAUAACUGUCCAUUCU
This 807-nucleotide unclassified non-coding RNA is filed under the name Hevea brasiliensis (rubber tree). Lineage: Eukaryota; Viridiplantae; Streptophyta; Magnoliopsida; Malpighiales; Euphorbiaceae. The record is from RNAcentral.